GUAGGUGGCAAGCGUUGUCCGGAAUUAUUGGGCGUAAAGCGCGCGCAGGGCGGUCCUUUAAGUCUGAUGUGAAAGCCCACGGCUCAACCGUGGAGGGUCAUUGGAAACUGGGGGACUUGAGUACAGAAGAGGAAAGCGGAAUUCCAAGUGUAGCGGUGAAAUGCGUAGAGAUUUGGAGGAACACCAGUGGCGAAGGCGGCUUUCUGGUCUGUAACUGGCGCUGAGGCGCGAAAGCGUGGGGAGCAAACAGGAUUAGAUACCCUGGUAGUCCACGCCGUAAACGAUGAGUGCUAAGUGUUAGGGGGUUUCCGCCCCUUAGUGCUGCAGCUAACGCAUUAAGCACUCCGCCUGGGGAGUACGGCCGCAAGGCUG
This 372-nucleotide ribosomal RNA is filed under the name uncultured organism. Its description in RNAcentral is "partial 16S ribosomal RNA". It matches the Rfam family "Bacterial small subunit ribosomal RNA", at positions 527 to 896 of the family's 1533-position model. The record is from RNAcentral.